AGAAUCUUUCGCAAUGCCCGAAAGGGUGACGAAGCGACGCCGCGUGUGGGAAGAAGGCCUUCGGGUUGUAAACCACUGUCGGGAGUUAAGAAAUGUAAGGAUGUUAAUAGCGUCCUUACUUGACUAAGGCUCCGGAGGAAGCCACGGCUAACUCUGUGCCAGCAGCCGCGGUAAUACAGAGGCGGCAAGCGUUGUUCGGAAUUAUUGGGCGUAAAGAGCACGUAGGCGGCCUUGAAAGUCAGUUGUGAAAGCCUUCUGCUUAACGGAAGAACAGCAUCUGAUACUACAGGGCUUGAGUGCGGGAGGGGAGAGUGGAACUUCUGGUGGAGCGGUGAAAUGCGUAGAUAUCAGAAGGAACGCCGGCAGCGAAAGCGGCUCUCUGGCUCGUAACUGACGCUGAGUGUGCGAAAGCUAGGGGAUCAAACGGGAUUAGAUACCCCGGUAGUCCUAGCCGUAAACGAUGGGCACUAAGUAGAGGGGUUUUGAUUAUCUCUCUGCCGGAGCUAACGCAUUAAGUGCCCCGCCUGGGAAGUACGGCCGCAAGGCUAAAACUCAAAAGAAUUGACGGGGGCUUGCACAAGCGGUGGAGCAUGUGGCUUAAUUCGAUGCAACGCGAAGAACCUUACCGGGGUCUGACAUGGUAGAAGUAGGAACCAGAAACGGUAACGAACGGUAUCCAGUCCGUAACUAUCACAGGUGUUGCAUGGCUG
This 710-nucleotide ribosomal RNA is filed under the name uncultured anaerobic ammonium-oxidizing bacterium. RNAcentral's name for it is "bacterial SSU rRNA". It matches the Rfam family "Bacterial small subunit ribosomal RNA", at positions 358 to 1051 of the family's 1533-position model. The record is from RNAcentral.